GGAAGAUACUUUAAUACACAUAACAGAUUAACAGGUACAUGUCAAUUGAGUAACUAUUAGUCUUCAUAUACUGGAAAGCAUCCAGGUUGAGAUAUAAAAUCUCUUUUAACACAGCCAAUUCAAAAAAGAAAACCUAUCUUACAAUAUGCAAUUUUUCUGAUCAUGGAAGUGCACCCGGUCAACGUUUGUGGAGAAUAAGCUGCUUCCUUAACCUCCACAACAGGAGCCACAAGCAGGAGCUGCACCUGAAGCAACAUUUAUAUUUUAAGUCGAUGACGAAAAGAACAGUAAAAGAGAACAGAACGGGAAAGAUUAGUACAUGAUGAGGGAAAAACUUACUGUGAUCGAUUCCUCUAACGUUAUCUAAUCCACGGGGUGGCCCACGUGGACCACCACCGUAUGGGCCACUUCCUGGACCUCCUGGACCACCACCAUCCCAUUUCUUGCUGGCACCGGAACCUUUCCGAUAGGCUUCAGACUUCUCCAUCUGCACAAGAUAGGGAAGAAUGAGGACAUGAUCUGCAUUGAAACUUCCAUAGUUUAGCCAGAAGAAUAGGAUUACCGAAAACAUCGUGGCAAAAAAGGCCCGAAUCAAAUUGAUUAUGGCCCAGAAGAAGUCUGUGAUUGUUUUCAGUCGCCAUAUUGAUCUCUUAUCUUUGAUAACACCUGAAGAGCAGGACAGUCACUGACAAGCAAAUCAUACAUAGGAUAGAAUGAAUGGACUCAUGUCCAUCUACCUAACAUAUCGAUGCACGCAUGCAUCAAGUCUCGUAUCAUUGCAAAAGGCUUUUUUAUAAAGUCAUCAGGUGAAGAUACGCAUAAUAGUGCAAGAAACUAAGGGUCUUCUGGAAACUGGAAAACANUGGUCCAUGAAAGUAUAUAGAUUGUGUUGAUGAUGAGAGUGAAAGUGGUGGUGGACCAUUGAAGAUAAAAAAAAAAACCUUAGAGAUUAAGAAACGGUAGUAAAAUAUAGAGUGAUUGAAGGUGUCAGAAAUUUAGGCUCGAUUUUUAUUUCAGGCCCUGGUUUUAUAGAACUGAUUUGUGUAAUACUAACUUUACUUCUAUGUUACUUGAUUGUAUUUUUGUGUUUCCACAUAGAGUAUUUCAGUUGUUUGAAUUUUUUGCUGAACUUUACAGAGAAAUAGAAAUGGGGGCUAACAUGUAUAUCGUGUAUGAUUGUAUUUUUAUGCAUAUGUUUGAUUUAGUUGUAUGUUGUAUUUGGUAAGGACUUGAGUCAGGGAACAGCGAUGCUAGUCGUUGCCGGGCAAAUAAAACCCAACAGACUCGCCGAUCAUGGUCUACGAGGGAGGAGCUUGUGUUGUUGUCUACUUUAAAAGAAUUAGUAGCACAAGGAUGGAAGUCGGACAAUUGGCAGCAGGAUAAUCGGCAAUUCGAUGAAUAAAUAUGAAAUAAACCACAAUAAAGAAUUGGAAACUACAUAACGGCAAUGAAGCGAGCACAUUUUAUGCAUUCUCAAUAACCAAGAUCAUACAAUCUCAAAUUUUACAAAAUAAAAAUUCAGUUGAUGAAAGAAUUGAGGAUCAAUUUCACCUCUAAUGCAAAACCAUAACCUAUAUUUACAAGAAGGUCUCAAGCUCUGGCUAGUUAAUCAUAUUAGUAUUUUCAUUCUACUCAAUGCAACAAAAAUGAUAAAUACAUACACUACAGAAAAGGCACAACACAACACAGAAGAUUACAUCAUUGUCAUAUACAAGACGAGAUAAACUUUAGAUAUAUCUUAUCUGCCUUCAUCAAUCAAAAUAGUCCAUACAAAUGACUUACCCCUAUAAAAAAAAAAUCAGAUUAUUCAAUAUACCAGUGAAUAAAAUUAUCUCAUCAUAAGAUACGAACUCUAACCUCGAAGCUGUGAAGCAGGCUACCGCCCUCAGGGAUCCGAAGACAGUCGAAGAUCUGUUGUGCCAAAAAGGGAGGUGUAGAAUCCCUGUUCAUUACCACCGUGAAAGUAUAUAAAUGAGUAUGAGAUAAAGCUCAAACAUAAAGGAUUACAAAUUGAAGAAAAAUGAUUCUUAACUCAAAACCAACCACUGCAAUACAAAAUUCAAGAAAUUAGCCAAAUAUUCACUUAUUCUCGUCACAAUAUUACCUAUUAUUUAUGUAGUAAAAUUCAAGUAAUGAAAUCAGAUUUUUUUUAUUUUUCAAGUUGUUACAGAGAACACAUAAAUCAAGCAAAUAUACCCUAUUAAAUAAAGAUCAGCAAGACCAUUCAAUGUCGCAAGUUCGAGAUAAAUUCAUCAAUAAAAAACCUCUCUUCAAAUUCAGCAUUAAAUCCUCUUCCGCCUCACCAAAACACAUUCAAACAGCAUCAAGCAUUUCAUGUAAAAGUGAAAUCUAUUUUGUAUUUAAUUAUCAUUGUUGCCUACACCUUAAUCUAGUGCAGGUUCUAUGUGAUCUGUGUCUAUUGAUAGUGACAACAUAUGAUAGUAGUUUUGUCCAUGUAAGUGAAGAAUCUGAAGCUUAGACUGCGAGAUUUGGCUAAUCUAUGUUCACUAUCAGCUUAAGAUUGUGAUAGAUGAACUAAGCUUAUAGAAUUUGGAAUUAAGCAAUAUUUCUCCUGAAUUGCUUCACGGAAAAGAUUUCGGCACAACAAUUAUCUAAUUGCCUAUUAAAAUGGAACAACCAUGUGAGGAGUGAGCACUACAGGGAUUCAGAUCAUGCUUUAGCUUUUAGCCUUUACUUCUACAAUUGGCCUCAAAGUAGAUAUUAAAACGGAACAAAUGAAGCUAAGUAUGAUACACAAGGAGAAUAACACCUCAAACCAGUAAAACAAAGCCCAUUUCACAAGCCAAAUCCGACGCCAAACUUGAUAAAAAUAUAUAGGGACGACGCCAAAUCUAACUCGAGAUAAAUAAACAGGGAUGAAGCAAAAUCAACGCCAGAUCGAACUCCUAAACUGACACUAAUGCAAUUAAAAACUGAAUUGGGAGUAGCAGCUAAUAGAGGAUCAUACAUUUUCUCAUCAGAAUUUUCCAAGAAACACAAAUUUUCUUGACAAGAAGGCAUAAAGGUCCCAGGUUUCCCCCGAUUUUCGGCACCAUCUACACUACCACUGAAGAAUUCAAAAUUGAAGAAUUCCAUAAGUGAAAUAUGACUCAUUUGCGAAAUGGAAGAAUUCGAGAACAGGGAUUGUAGAAUCCCAGAGGAAACACUUGCAAAAUUUAUUAAAACAAAUGGAUUUUACAUUGAAUUACAGAACAACAAUAAGAGAGGAAACACUUUCGAAAUUAAAUCCCACGCCAAAAAUACACAGGGACGACGCCAAAUCAACUAAAUCACAAAUUGAUACAAUCUCGAACGAAAACAUAUGAGGAAUCGGCGCAAAACAGAAACUAAAACCAUGCAAAAUGAGUUCGACGCAACAAACCUUCUUAUCUUGAGGGCGUAUGGAGGGACUCGAUUUGUGAAGCAACGACUGUCGAAGAUAAUUGAAGUUCAGAAAAAUCAAUUCUUGAAGACGACGAGAGGUAUGGAUUCGCAGCCCAGCAAUCUGUACGAGACCGCGUCGCAAGCCUUUUUCGUUUCUGUUUUCUGGCGAAGUCUGGAGCAGAUUUUUCUUCCCCUUUUUCGUUUCUGAAAUUGGGAAUUUUGGGGGCAAUAUUGGAAAUACACUCCUUAGUCUGAUGUAUUUGGGUUCUAUCCGACGCUCAGCGUAAGUUAAUUAAACAAGAGUAGUCUUAAAAAUAACUACGGGCCAGCAGGCUCUCUCGGGCCGUCUAAUUAAAUGUCUAACGCUAGCAAACAUUGAAAUAGAGCAAGACUAAUUAACAGUCUAACCUUACAGACCCUAGCAAACUGGGCCUUAAACAAUUUUGUCCUACCAUCUUAACCUUCCUUGCAGCCACCAUUCUCCUUCGGACGACACUAGACACUUCAUCGUGUUCAGAAUUUGGAUUUUUUUUUUGUUCAAGAGAGAAAUAACAAGAGAGAUUAUUGCCUAAAACAGGGUUGCAAUAGGAUUUGGGUUUUUCCUUUUUUCAAAAAAAAAUUAACCUUCUCUGAUUUUGAACUCAAUCUCACUCUCUGAUUUUAGUUUUUGUUGAGCUGUUGGAGAUUUACUUGAUUGUUUCUAAGAUGAUAAUAAAUUAACCAAAUUUUUAAAUAAGAGAGCGGCGCUGGAGGGAGGAAGGUCGCGCAAUGCUGAUAGGUGGGGACCGUUGGAGACCGACGAAGUCAACGGAAGAUGUGAAGACUGGAGGGGGGAGGCGGCAUUGAGCCGUCACGUUCUUGGGGGUAGGGGGCGACGAAGAUUUUUAGGGGUGGGGAAGAAACGUGAUUUUUUGCUGGGGAAAGGCGGUGCAAAACCCAUUUUUGAGGUUGAGACGGGGGUGGAGGGGAGUGGGUUGGGGCAGAAGACGAUGGAAGAUGGAAUUCUCUUUUUAUCUUUUAAUUUAAAUUUCUCAAUUUCUUUUAUUUAGUAUAAGGAUAAAAUAGUACUUUUAUUAUUUAAUCUAGAUUUUAAUUAAAACUAUCAAACAACUAUCUAAAUUUUAAUCUAAACAACCAAACACAGAUAAUUUACCAAGUCUCACCCAAUCCAUAUUAUUUUAUCUAGGUUUACACCUGUCACUCUUGAUUUCAACUUUAACACCGAAUGAGGCCUAAAGUGAUAUUAACACAAAGUAAUAUAUUAGAUGUAUCAGUUGCUCAAUCAGUCAAAAACUAUUUGAUAUGGAGUAAUUCGUAGUAACAUAGUUGAUUGAAAACAAACAAGACACUCGGAAGAUACUUUAAUACACAUAACAGAUUAACAGGUACAUGUCAAUUGAGUAACUAUUAGUCUUCAUAUACUGGAAAGCAUCCAGGUUGAGAUAUAAAAUCUCUUUUAACACAGCCAAUUCAAAAAAGAAAAACCUAUCUUACAAUAUGCAAUUUUUCUGAUCAUGGAAGUGCACCCGGUCAACGGUUGUGGAGAAUAAGCUGCUUCCUUAACCUCCACAACAGGAGCCACAAG
Molecule: long non-coding RNA, 4969 nt
Filed under: Salvia miltiorrhiza (redroot sage)
Lineage: Eukaryota; Viridiplantae; Streptophyta; Magnoliopsida; Lamiales; Lamiaceae
Description: long non-coding RNA (SMIL_LNC004534)
Source: RNAcentral